Molecule: ribosomal RNA, 1209 nt
Filed under: Clostridioides difficile
Lineage: Bacteria; Bacillati; Bacillota; Clostridia; Peptostreptococcales; Peptostreptococcaceae
Description: bacterial LSU rRNA
Rfam family: Bacterial large subunit ribosomal RNA
Source: RNAcentral
GUAUGGGAGUGAGAAUGUUGGCAUGAGUAGCGAGAUGUGGGUGAGAAUCCCACAGGCCGUAAACCCAAGGUUUCCAGGGGAAGGUUCGUCCGCCCUGGGUUAGUCGGGACCUAAGCUGAGGCCGAAAGGCGUAGGUGAUGGACAACAGGUUGAUAUUCCUGUACUACCGAUAACCGUUUGAGAGAAGGGAUGACACAGUAGGAUAAGCUAAGCACACUGUUGGUUAUGUGUGCCCAAGCAUUGAGGCAGUCAAAGUAGGCAAAUCCGCUUUGAUAAUGCUGGGAUGUGAUGGGGAGCGAAAUUUAGUAGCGAAGUAGCUGAUUUCACACUGUCAAGAAAAGUCUCUAUCGAGGUUAAAGGUACCCGUACCGCAAACCGACACAGGUGGGUGAGGAGAGUAUCCUAAGGCCAGCGAGAGAACUGUUGUUAAGGAACUCGGCAAAAUGACCCCGUAACUUAGGGAUAAGGGGUGCCACCAUCAGGUGGCCGCAGAGAAUAGGCCCAAGCGACUGUUUACCAAAAACAUAGGUUUCUGCUAAGUCGCAAGACGAUGUAUAGGAGCUGACGCCUGCCCGGUGCUGGAAGGUUAAGGGGAUCUGUUAGAGCAAUCGAAGCAGUGAACUUAAGCCCCAGUAAACGGCGGCCGUAACUAUAACGGUCCUAAGGUAGCGAAAUUCCUUGUCGGGUAAGUUCCGACCCGCACGAAAGGCGUAACGAUUUGGGCACUGUCUCAACAACAGACUCGGUGAAAUUGUAAUUCCGGUGAAGAUGCCGGAUACCUGCGACAGGACGGAAAGACCCCAUGGAGCUUUACUGUAGCUUGACAUUGGGUCUUGGUACUACAUGUACAGGAUAGGUGGGAGGCUUUGAAACCAGGACGCCAGUUUUGGCGGAGCCAUCCUUGGGAUACCACCCUUGUAGUACUGGGACUCUAACCAUAGGCCAUGAAUCUGGUCUUGGGACACUGUCAGGUGGGCAGUUUGACUGGGGCGGUCGCCUCCCAAAAGGUAACGGAGGCGCUCAAAGGUUCUCUCAGUACGGUCGGAAAUCGUACGUAGAGUGUAAAGGCAAAAGAGAGCUUGAUUGCAAGACAUACAGGUCGAGCAAGGAUGAAAAUCGGACUUAGUGAUCCGGUGGUUCUGCGUGGAAGGGCCAUCGCUCAACGGAUAAAAGCUACCCUGGGGAUAACAGGCUUAUCUCCCCCAAGAG